GAUGAAGAACGUAGCGAAAUGCGAUACUUGGUGUGAAUUGCAGAAUCCCGUGAACCAUCGAGUCUUUGAACGCAAGUUGCGCCCGAAGCCAUUAGGCCGAGGGCACGCCUGCCUGGGCGUCACACGUCGUUGCCCCCCCCAUCUACUCCUUCGGGAUUGCGGGGGGCGGAGGAUGGCCUCCCGUGUGCCUCGCCGCGCGGUUGGCAUAAAUACCAAGUCCUCGGCGACGCACGCCACGACAAUCGGUGGUUGCGAAACCUCGGUUGCCCGUCGUGUGCGGUCGUCGCGCAUCGAGGGCUCGAAAAAAUUGCCGGGUUCCGGCUCGGCUUUCAACGCGACCCCAGGUCAGGCGGGGUUACCCGCUGAAUUUAAGCAUAUCAAUAAGCGGAGGA
This 392-nucleotide unclassified non-coding RNA is filed under the name soil metagenome. RNAcentral describes it as "partial contains 5.8S ribosomal RNA, internal transcribed spacer 2, and large subunit ribosomal RNA". The stretch from base 1 to 122 matches the Rfam family "5.8S ribosomal RNA", at positions 35 to 154 of the family's 154-position model. The record is from RNAcentral.